Molecule: ribosomal RNA, 253 nt
Filed under: uncultured bacterium
Lineage: Bacteria
Description: partial 16S ribosomal RNA
Rfam family: Bacterial small subunit ribosomal RNA
Source: RNAcentral
GACGGAGGAUGCAAGCGUUAUCCGGAAUUAUUGGGCGUAAAGAGUCCGCAGGUGGCAGUUCAAGUCUGCUGUCAAAGACCGGGGCUUAACUUCGGAAAGGCAGUGGAAACUGAACAGCUAGAGUAUGGUAGGGGCAGAGGGAAUUCCUGGUGUAGCGGUGAAAUGCGUAGAGAUCAGGAAGAACCUCGGUGGCGAAGGCGCUCUGCUGGACCAUUACUGACACUCAGGGACGAGAUCUAGGGGAGCGAAUGGG